RNAcentral lists this transfer RNA (21 nucleotides) under Galium yunnanense. Its description in RNAcentral is "partial tRNA-Cys". The record is from RNAcentral. Lineage: Eukaryota; Viridiplantae; Streptophyta; Magnoliopsida; Gentianales; Rubiaceae.
GGGCGGCAUGGCCGAGUGUAA